CACCUGUGAUGAGGUGGCUACUUGUCCAGGGUGUACCCCGCCUUCCGCCCGAUCGCAGCUGAGAUAGGCGCCAGUGCCACCCGCGACCCCAAAAGGGAAUAAGCGGUCUCCCAUUUGAGGUCGCGGGGGGUUGAACAAAUCCUCCUAAAAGACAGCAAAUAUUACAAAACGAGCUCGUUUGAGAUGACACCGUUUCAAAAUGGACGUCAUGACAACGUCAGAUAUCAGGGAACUAGCUUGAGGCACAGAGAAGGUUCUGGUCCAACAUAUCUUGAUUAAAAAAAAAGCCACCAUCCACGUGACGCACGAUUUGAGGCCCGGCUGGGAUCGGACGCUCGGUUUGGAUCUGUGGCCAAUCUUUCUCCUAACAGCGCCAAGCGACAAAAUGACUCACAUUUCCGGAUUAAAUCUGCUCAAUACUGUGGUCCUCCAAACAUACCUGCUGGUUCUGGUACGCCGUGACAGUGGUGAAGACGGUCUCGACGAAGGAGAAGGUGUGUGUUCCUUCCCCGGCAGGGACGGCCUUCACCGGGGACAACUCCUCUCCACACUCCUUACGGAUCACGUGGACCCGGGGCUGGUAUUUGUGCAUGGAGUGCAGAAUGAUCUGGUGUGAGGAGCGCAAUGUUAGCACUUUGCGCAUGUGCAUGUUUUAAUUGGUAGGAACUCAGAUGUUUAUUUCUUUAGGAAAAAAAAUCAUAUUAGGUGUGAAUCCGUGCAGGAUAGACUUAUAUUUUUUCCACAUUUUUUCUACAUUAACCUUCAUUUAGAAAAUAGGUAACAGGAAAUACGCACAAAGCUUUUAAACAAACGGGGGGUGUGGUGUGCAUCAGCCAAGGAAUAACCUUUUUUUUUAAUUCACAGUAAAAUUCAUUUUUGUUAAACUCGGGCUAAUUAGUAGAAAUAAAUCUGUGAAUUUUCAACGGUUUUAUGUAAUUAAAUGGACACAUGCACGCAAUGAAAAAGAUAUAUUAAUGAUGAAGAUAAUACAAUAAUACAUUACAUGUCCCUGGUCGUCCAGCUCGUUAUUGGUCAGCUUGAGUUUGUCGAAGCUGACCACCUGACGCAUCCACGUCUCGCCCGAGGCAGGCGAGUCCGGAUGGAUGUAGACCCUGGGCGGCACCGGAGAGUCUGCGUUGCCCGCCACCAUCCACUUGGAGCUGUGGUACACGUACCUGCACGGACAGAACAUCGAAACAACGUUUGGCAGGACUCCUUAUUUGUGUUGUUUUACUUACUGGAUCCGUCACUGGCACAUUCCUCGCUGCAACGCCCGCUGGCGCGCGCUCUGCCGGCGCAAGGUUUCGGGCUCCCGGGCACACGAGGGACAUCACUUCCGUGGUCGUAGCCGGCGGAGGUAACGUCCUCCCCGGCCGUCCUGCGCCUCUUCUCCGCCCCGAUGAGUGCCUCCACCGAGAAGGCGUGCGCCUUGACGCUGAGUGCGCACGACGAGCGACGCUUCUCAGCCAUGGCUCCGUCCCGGUUCCUUGGAAGUGUUGACGGGAGUCACGCAGGAGACUCGUCCCAAAGACGAGGUAUUCUCUUGUCCUCCUGAAUGGCUGUAAGGGAAGCAGGCUGACGCCUCCGUGAUCCACUAGCAACACUUUUUGGAAGGGGUGUCAACAACAAGAGGAGACCCGGAGAGGAAAGGGGAGGGACAAAAAUGAGGAUGUGUCAAUCAAAAGUGAGCGCAGCCAAUCAGAAGUCAUCACAGCGCCCCCCUCCGGAAGGGGUUCCCUCCGUGGCCCCGCCCCCUUGCGCUGCCCAAUGUGGUCAACAAGUGGAGCAACAUGAUGAUGAAGAUGAUGAUGAGUGGAUCAAACCCUUUAUUUAGUGGCCUUUUUCACGCAUUGUGGCGUGCACGCUUCAUGCACGGCUUGUCGUGAAUUUGAGCUUAUGGACCUCCCAAAUGAUGAGUUAUGAGCAACAACAUAAACAUUUAAUUAAGGUAAAAAUCCUCCAAUUAUAAAGAAUGUUGCAGCUGCAAAUAGUAAAUAAGAACAGGUUAAUAUGAUAUAAAGUGAUCUAUAAACCUGUA
Long non-coding RNA from Nerophis ophidion (straightnose pipefish), 2038 nucleotides. RefSeq lists it as uncharacterized. The transcript is spliced from 6 exons. The record is from RefSeq and is a predicted model, not a curated record. Lineage: Eukaryota; Metazoa; Chordata; Actinopteri; Syngnathiformes; Syngnathidae.